This is a long non-coding RNA of Malania oleifera, 484 nucleotides long. RefSeq lists it as uncharacterized. Lineage: Eukaryota; Viridiplantae; Streptophyta; Magnoliopsida; Santalales; Ximeniaceae. The record is from RefSeq and is a predicted model, not a curated record. The transcript has 2 exons.
GGGGGAGGGGCACAACCACACGGUUGGGAGAAAAAAAAGAGACAGCCACAAAAUCCUCUCUCUCUCUCGGCAUACUCUCUCUGCAUAGCCUCAACCUCGAACAGCAGCUCUCUCCCUCCUGAAGUAGCGGUGCCCAACUAGCCACCACCUCACGGCCAUCCUGCAGUAGCCGCAGCCUCUGCCCCAUGCAGCAGCCGCGACCUCUUGCCCCUGCAGCAACUAUCCUUCUGUAGCUGCUGUGCCCAACUCCAGCCACCACCUCACGGCCCUCCUGCAGGUUCUCCCCACGGCUGUCCCUCCUCUUCUCCAAAGGAAACCCAAAAAGACUGGCAGAUCGAGGCCGCCAUUGAGAUAGUGUGAUACUAGCCCGCUAGGAGGGUAAGUUUUGGUCUAGGAACAGGAGAAUUGUGUUGUGGGUUCCUAGAUAUGUAUAUAUUCUUGUAUUUUUGAAGAUUUGUAUAUAAACACAGUAUUUUGGAAUUUA